RNAcentral lists this non-coding RNA (22 nucleotides) under Arabidopsis thaliana (thale cress). The record is from RNAcentral. Lineage: Eukaryota; Viridiplantae; Streptophyta; Magnoliopsida; Brassicales; Brassicaceae.
CGUGGUACCAGCAACAGAGCGA